Anolis sagrei ordinatus is the source of this 1048-nucleotide long non-coding RNA. RefSeq lists it as uncharacterized. NCBI's taxonomy places the organism in Eukaryota, Metazoa, Chordata, Lepidosauria, Squamata, Anolidae. The record is from RefSeq and is a predicted model, not a curated record.
AUUGUUUGCUGGAGGAGAUCUGAGGGGCUUGGGUGCAGUAUGGCUGAGAUAAUUGAGGGAUCCUAUGAAGCCAAAGGACCCACCCCAGGCUGCCAAGCAAACACAAACCAAGCAUCCCUUCUAAUUCCUGGCUGGCACAGAAGAAUAGGAAAGCUGCCCUUGUACAGACGGUGUGUGCAAAAGGGGAAGCAGCUGUGACUUCAUUAGCUGAGUAUCCUUGAGGAGGUGUAUGCAAGAAACUGGUUUCAUCAGGCAACAGCUUAAUAAGAAUGGAUGGAGAUGUGAUACCAAUCUAUUGAGCCAGAAGCAUGACAGAGUGGAAGCCCCUCAAAGGAACUGAGAUAACUUCUGAGGAUUCUUCAUCCACAAGCUGUCCAAUUAGUGCAAGCCCAUGGAUGCCUAAUAGUACUAGUAGCUAAUAGGAUGACCGAGGAAACCUCCACAUAUUUCUCUCCCAGCACUGGAGAAGAAAAAGAAGGCAUGCCACAGCUAAGAUGUGGGUAGUUUAAGAAGGAAAAUGCCUUAACUGUGCAUGAGGGAUGGGGUAGGAACCAACAGGCAUACCCCAGUUACCAAAGCCUCUGACAAUAAGCUACUUUUUACAAAGUCUUUUUAUGCUCACUCAGCUUCUUCCCUUUUGUCCUCUUGUCUAGCUGGAAGAUUGAUUUUAACAGUAUCAGCUAAAGGGGGAUUGUCAAGGAGGCUGGAAAAGCACAGUCUCUCAGUGUUGGGUUGCAGUAGCAGGAUGGCAGUAAACAAGGCAAUAUACUUUGAAAUGGGAAUGUGUGGAAGUCUACUCUAGGCAAUCCUAUUUUUCCUACAUGUGCCUUCUUACAGCAGGCAAGGAAAAAGAAGCUGCCUCCAGAACUGCUUACAGAGCAUGUGUCAAUAGAAAAACAAAGAAAACGAGGGAAUGCAAUAAGCUACCAGCUACCUCCAGUAUGCUGAAGAAAUUUGGCCCCAAAGUGGAAAUUAUAAAGAAAGUGGAGGGUGGUGAAGGGGGAAAAAAUCAUCCUUGGAUCCAUUUUGGAAGAAGCUUACAUGUGGC